RNAcentral lists this ribosomal RNA (503 nucleotides) under uncultured bacterium. RNAcentral's name for it is "bacterial SSU rRNA". It matches the Rfam family "Bacterial small subunit ribosomal RNA", at positions 28 to 518 of the family's 1533-position model. The record is from RNAcentral.
GACGAACGCUGGCGGCGUGCUUAACACAUGCAAGUCGAGCGAGAAAGCCCCUUCGGGGGUGAGUACAGCGGCGAACGGGUGAGUAACACGUGGGCAACCUGCCCCGGAGACUGGGAUAACGUCCCGAAAGGGACGCUAAUACCGGAUGAUGCGUGACCUGCCAAGUGGGUCACGUCAAAUGGUAGCCUCGGCCUCUGCUCCGGGAUGGGCCCGCGCCGGAUUAGCUUGUUGGUGAGGUAACGGCUCACCAAGGCGACGAUCCGUAGCUGGUCUGAGAGGACGAUCAGCCACACUGGGACUGAGACACGGCCCAGACUCCUACGGGAGGCAGCAGUGGGGAAUCUUGCGCAAUGGGCGAAAGCCUGACGCAGCAACGCCGCGUGAGCGAAGACGGCCUCGGUUGUAAGACUCUGUCAGAGGGACGAAGGACCACUCGGUGAACGAGCCACGAGGUGACGGUACCGUCCACACGGAAGCCCGGCUAACUACGUGCCAGCAGACCC